RNAcentral lists this ribosomal RNA (274 nucleotides) under uncultured bacterium. RNAcentral's name for it is "partial 16S ribosomal RNA". It matches the Rfam family "Bacterial small subunit ribosomal RNA", at positions 523 to 796 of the family's 1533-position model. The record is from RNAcentral.
AUACGGAGGGUGCAAGCGUUGUUCGGAAUUAUUGGGCGUAAAGCGGGCGUAGGCGGUUUGGUAAGUCUGUUGUGAAAGCCCUCGGCUCAACCGAGGAACUGCAACGGAUACUGUCAAACUAGAGUGCAGGAGGGGAGAGUGGAAUUCCUGGUGGAGCGGUGAAAUGCGUAGAUAUCCGGAGGAACACCAGUGGCGAAGGCGGCUUCCUGGACUAAUACUGACACUGAGGUACGAAAGCGUGGGGAGCAAACAGGAUUAGAUACCCCUGUAGUCC